CCUACGGGUGGCAGCAGUGAGGAAUAUUGGUCAAUGGGCGAGAGCCUGAACCAGCCAAGUCGCGUGAAGGAUGAAGGAUCUAUGGUUUGUAAACCUCUUUUAUAUGGGAGUAAAGCGAGGAACGUGUUCCUUUUUGUAUGUACCAGAUGAAUAAGCAUCGGCUAACUCCGUGCCAGCAGCCGCGGUAAUACGGAGGAUGCGAGCGUUAUCCGGAUUGAUUGGGUUUAAAGGGUGCGUAGGGGGUGAAUGAAGUCAGCGGUUAAAGUUUGGGGCUCAACCAUAAAAUUGCAGUUGAAACUGGAUGUCUUGAGUACGGUAGAGGUAUGCGGAAUUCGUGGUGUAGCGGUGAAAUGCUUAGAUAUCACGAAGAACUCCGAUUGCGAAGGCAGUUCACUGGACUGCAACUGACGCUCAGGCACGAAAGUGUGGGUAUCGAACAGGAUUAGAUACCCCAGUAGUC
Molecule: ribosomal RNA, 460 nt
Filed under: uncultured bacterium
Lineage: Bacteria
Description: partial 16S ribosomal RNA
Rfam family: Bacterial small subunit ribosomal RNA
Source: RNAcentral